Molecule: small RNA, 264 nt
Filed under: Arabidopsis thaliana (thale cress)
Lineage: Eukaryota; Viridiplantae; Streptophyta; Magnoliopsida; Brassicales; Brassicaceae
Description: ATSL165900
Source: RNAcentral
AAAUACAUACUUUGAGUUUUACAAAAGGACACUGAAAAACUACUUUGGAUUCCCUAGUGUUCACCACUCCCUCUAAUUCCCUUUAAGGUUACCUGCAAAACAAGUAGAGUCAUGAGUAAUCUAGCAUUACUCAAUGAGCUCGGAUUCCUCAAGAAAACGUUAGUCUAAUCCCCACCCAUAAUCCCCACAUGAAUAACAUGAAUAAUCAGAGUACACAGAGAAGGUAGUAAACCACACAAACACAAGCAAGAAAUAACGUUUCUU